CAUCAACAAAAACAGCAACCGAUUUGCCCAAGAAAGAUUUCAUCUCGAACAUGAUCAACUAUGCAGACUAUUCCAACUUAGGAUAAAAAUUAGUCUUCCACAUGUCAAAGGUGUCAGCUACUAUAAACUUGAUCAAGAAAAUCAUCAACAUGGGAAUUGAAUGCCUGUUCUACAUUUACAAACAACGAUUUUAUUAAUAUCACAGCAGAAUGCCAAUAAGCUAGUUUCAACCUUUAAUGGUACUUGCACAAUGGAGGAUACUGCUGAAAACAAUCUCGAUCUAAUCCAUCCCUGUUUGAAUUAAAUCUUCUGUUCAGGUCCUUACUCCAUCUGGUAGUGCUACUGAUUACUGUACCCAGCAUAAACUCGAACUAUGCACCAAAUUCUUCUUCAGAAGUUAACAGAGGGCUAGAACUCAAUACUUGUUUAAUUACCAAUUAUUCAGUUUUCAACACCAUAACUAUCAUUAUCUACCCCUCACCAUUACAAGCACAAACCUCUUGUCAGUGUUCAAGUUGUAAUCGAGACAGUCGAGCAAAUAAGUUGCUUUUCAACCUUUAGAAGCAUGAGCAAGAUGAGACUGUUGAAGACAUC
RNAcentral lists this long non-coding RNA (594 nucleotides) under Elaeis guineensis (African oil palm). RNAcentral's name for it is "long non-coding RNA (EGUI_LNC016295)". Lineage: Eukaryota; Viridiplantae; Streptophyta; Magnoliopsida; Arecales; Arecaceae. The record is from RNAcentral.